UAGCCGAGUUCCGACGAUACCGCAAUCGU
Molecule: small RNA, 29 nt
Filed under: Bombyx mori (domestic silkworm)
Lineage: Eukaryota; Metazoa; Arthropoda; Insecta; Lepidoptera; Bombycidae
Description: ovarian small RNA-22367
Source: RNAcentral